RNAcentral lists this ribosomal RNA (1418 nucleotides) under Weissella confusa. RNAcentral describes it as "bacterial SSU rRNA". It matches the Rfam family "Bacterial small subunit ribosomal RNA", at positions 67 to 1442 of the family's 1533-position model. Lineage: Bacteria; Bacillati; Bacillota; Bacilli; Lactobacillales; Lactobacillaceae. The record is from RNAcentral.
CUUUGUGGUUCAACUGAUUUGAAGAGCUUGCUCAGAUAUGACGAUGGACAUUGCAAAGAGUGGCGAACGGGUGAGUAACACGUGGGAAACCUACCUCUUAGCAGGGGAUAACAUUUGGAAACAGAUGCUAAUACCGUAUAACAAUGACAACCGCAUGGUUGUUAUUUAAAAGAUGGUUCUGCUAUCACUAAGAGAUGGUCCCGCGGUGCAUUAGCUAGUUGGUAAGGUAAUGGCUUACCAAGGCGAUGAUGCAUAGCCGAGUUGAGAGACUGAUCGGCCACAAUGGGACUGAGACACGGCCCAUACUCCUACGGGAGGCAGCAGUAGGGAAUCUUCCACAAUGGGCGAAAGCCUGAUGGAGCAACGCCGCGUGUGUGAUGAAGGGUUUCGGCUCGUAAAACACUGUUGUAAGAGAAGAAUGACAUUGAGAGUAACUGUUCAAUGUGUGACGGUAUCUUACCAGAAAGGAACGGCUAAAUACGUGCCAGCAGCCGCGGUAAUACGUAUGUUCCAAGCGUUAUCCGGAUUUAUUGGGCGUAAAGCGAGCGCAGACGGUUAUUUAAGUCUGAAGUGAAAGCCCUCAGCUCAACUGAGGAAUUGCUUUGGAAACUGGAUGACUUGAGUGCAGUAGAGGAAAGUGGAACUCCAUGUGUAGCGGUGAAAUGCGUAGAUAUAUGGAAGAACACCAGUGGCGAAGGCGGCUUUCUGGACUGUAACUGACGUUGAGGCUCGAAAGUGUGGGUAGCAAACAGGAUUAGAUACCCUGGUAGUCCACACCGUAAACGAUGAGUGCUAGGUGUUUGAGGGUCUCCGCCCUUAAGUGCCGCAGCUAACGCAUUAAGCACUCCGCCUGGGGAGUACGACCGCAAGGUUGAAACUCAAAGGAAUUGACGGGGACCCGCACAAGCGGUGGAGCAUGUGGUUUAAUUCGAAGCAACGCGAAGAACCUUACCAGGUCUUGACAUCCCUUGACAACUCCAGAGAUGGAGCGUUCCCUUCGGGGACAAGGUGACAGGUGGUGCAUGGUUGUCGUCAGCUCGUGUCGUGAGAUGUUGGGUUAAGUCCCGCAACGAGCGCAACCCUUAUUACUAGUUGCCAGCAUUCAGUUGGGCACUCUAGUGAGACUGCCGGUGACAAACCGGAGGAAGGUGGGGAUGACGUCAAAUCAUCAUGCCCCUUAUGACCUGGGCUACACACGUGCUACAAUGGCGUAUACAACGAGUUGCCAACCCGCGAGGGUGAGCUAAUCUCUUAAAGUACGUCUCAGUUCGGAUUGUAGGCUGCAACUCGCCUACAUGAAGUCGGAAUCGCUAGUAAUCGCGGAUCAGCACGCCGCGGUGAAUACGUUCCCGGGUCUUGUACACACCGCCCGUCACACCAUGAGAGUUUGUAACACCCAAAGCCGGUGGGGUAACCUU